UUUGCUCAUUUUCCUAACCAA
RNAcentral lists this non-coding RNA (21 nucleotides) under Caenorhabditis elegans. Lineage: Eukaryota; Metazoa; Nematoda; Chromadorea; Rhabditida; Rhabditidae. The record is from RNAcentral.